This 996-nucleotide ribosomal RNA is filed under the name uncultured eukaryote. RNAcentral's name for it is "bacterial SSU rRNA". It matches the Rfam family "Eukaryotic small subunit ribosomal RNA", at positions 25 to 979 of the family's 1831-position model. The record is from RNAcentral.
AUUAAUCUGAAUGUCUAAGAUUAGCCAUGCAGUCUAAGUAUAAGCGAUUAUACAGUGAACCUGCGGAAAGCUCAUUAUAUCAGUUAUAGUUUAUUUGAUGGUACCCUGCUACAUGGAUAACUGUAGUAAUUCUAGAGCUAAUACAUGCCCGGUAACUCUGACCCCUUUGGGAAAGAGCGGACUUAUUAGAUACUUUAGCCUUCCCAACUUCGGUUGGUUCUUUGGUGAAUCAUAAUAAUUUCUAGAUCGCAUAUGCCUUAGCGGGCGGCGAUGGGUCAUUCAAAUUUCUGCCCUAUCAGCUGUGAUGGUAGUGUAGUGGACUACCAUGGCUUAUACGGGUGACGGAGGAUUAGGGUCUGAUCCCGGAGAGGGAGCCUGAGAAACGGCUACCACUUCCAAGGAAGGCAGCAGGCGCGUAAAUUACCCAAUCCCAAUACGGGGAGGUAGUGACAAGAAAUAACAAUAGUAUGUCUCUUUAAGAGUAUACUAAUUGGAAUGAGAACAACUUAAAAUCCUUAUCGAGGAUCCAUUGGAGGGCAAGUCUGGUGCCAGCAGCCGCGGUAAUACCAGCUCCAAUAGCGUAUGCUAAAAUUGUUGCAGUUAAAAGGCUCGUAGUCGAAUAUAUGACCCUCGUUUGAACCCGGCCCAUCCACUAGUUUGGUUGCGCGCCGGUGUGCACGGGUCAUACUUUCUGAAAAGCAUUACUGCCCUUGAUUGUGGUUGGUAAUGUGAUUCAGAUCAUUUACUGUGAGUAAAAUCAAUAGUGUUCAAAGCAGGCUUCAAUUGCUUUGUAUGGGUUCAGCAUGGAAUAAUUAAGAUAAGACUUCGGUUUUGUUUUGUUGGCUAUACGAACCCAUAGUAAUUGAUUUGACAGGGACCUGUUGGGGGGUGCUUAGUUAUUGGGUGGUUUAGCGGGUGAAUUGGUGAGGAACCCACCUCCAGGACUAACUUUAAUGCGAUAAGCCUUCCCCCAUGUAUUGUCCUUCUUUGUGAUCA